GAUUUCUGGGCUCAAGAGUUUGGCCGGCCACGGUUUCGUGUGUUAGUGCUUUGCUCUGUGUCCAUCCUUCCAAUCGCUAUUGGCUAUUCUUCAUUGAUUGGUCAGUAGUAUUGGAUCUUUUACUUUGAAAAAAUUAGAGUGUUUAAAGCAGGCUUACGCUAUGAAUACAUUAGCAUGGAAUAAUAAUAUAGGACUUUGGUUCUAUUUUGUUGGUUUCUAGGACUGAAGUAAUGAUUGAUAGGGAUAGUUGGGGGUGCUAGUAUUCAGUGGCCAGAGGUGAAAUUCUUGGAUUCACUGAAGACUAACUACUGCGAAAGCAUU
This 321-nucleotide ribosomal RNA is filed under the name Cercozoa sp. RNAcentral's name for it is "SSU rRNA". It matches the Rfam family "Eukaryotic small subunit ribosomal RNA", at positions 634 to 955 of the family's 1831-position model. The record is from RNAcentral. Lineage: Eukaryota; Cercozoa.